GACGAACGCUGGCGGCGUGCUUAACACAUGCAAGUCGAACGGAAAGGCCCCUUUGGGGGUACUCGAGUGGCGAACGGGUGAGUAACACGUGAGUAACCUGCCCUUGACUUCGGGAUAACCUCCGGAAACUGGGGCUAAUACCGGAUAGGAACCUUUGCUGCAUGGUGGGGGUUGGAAAGCUUCGGCGGUUUUGGAUGGACUCGCGGCUUAUCAGCUUGUUGGUGGGGUAGUGGCCUACCAAGGCUUUGACCGGUAGCGGGCCUGAGAGGGCGACCGGCCACAUUGGGACCUAGGGACGGCCGAGACGCGGAAUGUAGGCAGCAGGGGGGAAUAUUGCACAAGGGGCGGAAGGCGGAUGCAGCAACGCCGCGGACGGGAUAACAGCCUUCGUGUUGUAAACCGCUAGCAGCAGAGGCGAUGCCUGUGGUGACGGUACCUGCAGAAGAAGCACCGGCUAACUACGUG
RNAcentral lists this ribosomal RNA (465 nucleotides) under uncultured bacterium. RNAcentral's name for it is "partial 16S ribosomal RNA". It matches the Rfam family "Bacterial small subunit ribosomal RNA", at positions 28 to 507 of the family's 1533-position model. The record is from RNAcentral.